UGGGAGAGGAAGAAGCAGGCUCAUAGCGGAGGAGCCUGAUGUGGGGCUCGAUCCCAUAACGCCGGGAUCACGCCCUGAGCCGAAGGCAGACGCUUAACCGCUGUGCCACCCAGGCACCCCCAACAUCGUAUUUCUGACCAACUGUUUGAUCUGCUGUGUUAUUUAUUCUCAUGAGGUUUUACGAAUUUUUGUUCGACGUAAAUAAUUGGUGGCAAGUGAAUGUAUGAAGCUGUGAUUUAGUUCGUAGCAGGAAGUUACAGUAAAAUAGCUCCGCCUGUGAUUCAGCUAUUUCGGAGCAGUAUGCUAAAUUAGGAGUAUUAAUUUCUAACCAUAAGACAAAUGAAAUAGACACUUCAGAUCCAUGGAGGAAAAGAACUGCCUUCUACAGACUCUCAUAGAUCAAGUUUGGGUGGCAAUUGCGUGAUAAGCUUUCACCGUCUAGCUUGUCCGAUACGCUAGAUUUCACAGUGUUUUCUCUAAAUUUACCAUAGUAGCACAGCAUAGUUUUUUCCCCCCAAGUCUUUUGGUGCCGGAGUGGGGGUUAGUUUGGAGAGGAAGGGUUCUGUGUCAUGCAUGCGGCAACUGUGAGACACACUCAUUUAAUCUGUGGCUUGCUUAAAGGCUUGGUGGACAGAGAUGUUUUGAGUCACCCGGAGGGGGUCAGAGUGGCCAGGCUGCGCUUCUUUGCCUCCACUAGGCUCUGUGGAAACGGCAUCCCUUGAGAUGUCCCGGAGUGAGAACCCUUCCCCAAGCGACAGUGAGCUGCAGUCUUGGAACCAGCUUUGCUUACCCCUUGGGGGGGGGGUCCGACUCCACGCCAGCAAGUUCUCCCCACGAGGUCUCUGAGGCCUGGAGACAGAAUGCCCUGCAGGGCUGCAGCCUGUUACACUAGCUCUCCAGGCGUGUUUAAGACCGCAGGGAGAGGAGGAGAGAGACCUGCGGCAGAGUACCGCCUCCCCGCCCUCGGCGAGGGCAGUAAACCAGCUCUGUGCAACGUGGCCCCUCGUGGACGUGGGGGAUUCCAGUUCGUGGGUGAAAGUAAAGACACCGGACUUCCCUCAUCACACGUAUCUGUUGAGUUGUGUCCCCAGCAAUCACACCACCACCCCGCAGCCCAAGCUUCACAGGAGGAGACUGAGCUGAGGAGAGGCAGAGUAACAGGGCCAGCCUUUGACUCAGGCAUGUGUGAGUCCGGGAAGGAAGAAGGAACGAUUCGGUUGUUUGGAAGGAGCUUUACAGAGGAGGCACUAAAAUGAAAAUGCAUCCUGCGUUCACCAGAUUCGCCUCUGUCUCCUAUCCAGGCCCUCCCUUGUGAAAUCGUGGCUCAAUCAAAUAACCGUCACUGACAUUUUGGGGAGAUAAUUAGUAAAAUUUGAAUACAGAUGGGUGUUGGAUGAUAUUAAGAAGUUGUUAACUCUUGCAGGAGUGAUGAUAAUAGUAUUGUGGUUUCAUAGGAAAAUGUGCCUUGUGCUUUGUGUUUUUUAGAUGCAUACUGAAAUACUUAGUUGUGAAAUCUCUUCAGAAGAAAAGAGAUGUAGCAAAUAUGGUGAAAUGAAAAUGAAAAUAUAUACAAUCAAG
Molecule: long non-coding RNA, 1578 nt
Filed under: Ursus maritimus (polar bear)
Lineage: Eukaryota; Metazoa; Chordata; Mammalia; Carnivora; Ursidae
Description: lncRNA (ENSUMAG00000005466.1)
Source: RNAcentral